AUUGAACGCUGGCGGCAGGCUUAACACAUGCAAGUCGAGCGGGGAAAGGUAGCUUGCUACCUGACCUAGCGGCGGACGGGUGAGUAAUGCUUAGGAAUCUGCCUAUUAGUGGGGGACAACAUUCCGAAAGGAAUGCUAAUACCGCAUACGCCCUACGGGGGAAAGCAGGGGAUCUUCGGACCUUGCGCUAAUAGAUGAGCCUAAGUCAGAUUAGCUAGUUGGUGGGGUAAAGGCCUACCAAGGCGAGGAUCUGUAGCGGGUCUGAGAGGAUGAUCCGCCACACUGGGAAUGAGACACGGCCCAGACUCCUACGGGAGGCAGCAGUGGGGAAUAUUGGACAAUGGGCGAAAGCCUGAUCCAGCCAUGCCGCGUGUGUGAAGAAGGCCUUUUGGUUGUAAAGCACUUUAAGCGAGGAGGAGGCUACUUGGAUUAAUACUCUAGGAUAGUGGACGUUACUCGCAGAAUAAGCACCGGCUAACUCUGUGCCAGCCGCCGCCGUAA
Molecule: ribosomal RNA, 501 nt
Filed under: uncultured bacterium
Lineage: Bacteria
Description: partial 16S ribosomal RNA
Rfam family: Bacterial small subunit ribosomal RNA
Source: RNAcentral